CUACGGGAGGCUGCAGACGAGAAUCUUCGGCAAUGGGCGAAAGCCUGACCGAGCGACGCCGCGUGCGGGAUGAAGGCCCUCGGGUUGUAAACCGCUGUCAAUGGGGAGGAAGUGCAUUGGGGUUAUCCCCUUUGCUUGACCUAUCCAAGAAGGAAGUACGGGCUAAGUUCGUGCCAGCAGCCGCGGUAAGACGAACCGUACGAACGUUAUUCGGAAUUACUGGGCUUAAAGGGUGCGUAGGCUGCGCGGAAAGUUGGGUGUGAAAGCCCUCAGCUCAACUGAGGAAUUGCAUCCAAAACUACCGUGCUCGAGGGAGACAGAGGUGAGCGGAACUCAAGGUGGAGCGGUGAAAUGCGUUGAUAUCUUGAGGAACACCGGUGGCGAAAGCGGCUCACUGGGUCUCUUCUGACGCUGAGGCACGAAAGCUAAGGUAGCAAACGGGAUUAGAUACCCUUGUAGUC
This 461-nucleotide ribosomal RNA is filed under the name uncultured bacterium. Its description in RNAcentral is "partial 16S ribosomal RNA". It matches the Rfam family "Bacterial small subunit ribosomal RNA", at positions 339 to 795 of the family's 1533-position model. The record is from RNAcentral.